This 90-nucleotide transfer RNA is filed under the name Chromatiales bacterium. RNAcentral's name for it is "tRNA-Ser". It matches the Rfam family "tRNA". Rfam says of the family: Transfer RNA (tRNA) molecules are approximately 80 nucleotides in length. Their secondary structure includes four short double-helical elements and three loops (D, anti-codon, and T loops). The record is from RNAcentral. Lineage: Bacteria; Pseudomonadati; Pseudomonadota; Gammaproteobacteria; Chromatiales.
GGAGAGGUGGCAGAGCGGUUGAAUGCACCGGUCUUGAAAACCGGCAGGCCCUUGCGGGCCUCGUGGGUUCAAAUCCCACCCUCUCCGCCA